RNAcentral lists this ribosomal RNA (515 nucleotides) under Metschnikowia sp. (in: budding yeasts & allies). RNAcentral's name for it is "eukaryotic LSU rRNA". It matches the Rfam family "Eukaryotic large subunit ribosomal RNA", at positions 51 to 655 of the family's 3401-position model. Lineage: Eukaryota; Fungi; Ascomycota; Pichiomycetes; Serinales; Metschnikowiaceae. The record is from RNAcentral.
CGGAGGAAAAGAAACCAACAGGGAUGCCUCACCAACGGCGAGUGAGCGGCAAAAGCUCAAAUUUGAAAUCCCCCGGGAAUUGUAAUUUGAAGAGAUUUGGGUCCGGCCGGCAGGGGUUAAGUCCACUGGAAAGUGGCGCCACAGAGGGUGACAGCCCCGUGAACCCCUUUAACGCCUUCAUCCCAGAUCUCCAAGAGUCGAGUUGUUUGGGAAUGCAGCUCUAAGUGGGUGGUAAAUUCCAUCUAAAGCUAAAUACCGGCGAGAGACCGAUAGCGAACAAGUACAGUGAUGGAAAGAUGAAAAGCACUUUGAAAAGAGAGUGAAAAAGUACGUGAAAUUGUUGAAAGGGAAGGGCUUGCAAGCAGACACUUAACUGGGCCAGCAUCGGGGCGGCGGGAAACAAAACCACCGGGGAAUGUACCUUUCGAGGAUUAUAACCCCGGUCUUUAUUUCCUUGUUGCCCCGAGGCCUGCAAUCUAAGGAUGCUGGCGUAAUGGUUGCAAGUCGCCCGUCUA